RNAcentral lists this ribosomal RNA (557 nucleotides) under Allobosea sp. HRRK122. RNAcentral describes it as "bacterial SSU rRNA". It matches the Rfam family "Bacterial small subunit ribosomal RNA", at positions 102 to 694 of the family's 1533-position model. Lineage: Bacteria; Pseudomonadati; Pseudomonadota; Alphaproteobacteria; Hyphomicrobiales; Alloboseaceae. The record is from RNAcentral.
ACGGGUGAGUAACACGUGGGAACGUACCUUUCGGUUCGGAAUAAUCCAGGGAAACUUGGACUAAUACCGGCUACGCCCUUCGGGGGAAAGAUUUAUCGCCGAAAGAUCGGCCCGCGUCUGAUUAGCUAGUUGGUGAGGUAAAGGCUCACCAAGGCGACGAUCAGUAGCUGGUCUGAGAGGAUGAUCAGCCACAUUGGGACUGAGACACGGCCCAAACUCCUACGGGAGGCAGCAGUGGGGAAUAUUGGACAAUGGGCGAAAGCCUGAUCCAGCCAUGCCGCGUGAGUGAUGAAGGCCUUAGGGUUGUAAAGCUCUUUUGUCCGGGAAGAUAAUGACUGUACCGGAAGAAUAAGCCCCGGCUAACUUCGUGCCAGCAGCCGCGGUAAUACGAAGGGGGCUAGCGUUGCUCGGAAUCACUGGGCGUAAAGGGCGCGUAGGCGGACUUUUAAGUCGGAGGUGAAAGCCCAGGGCUCAACCCUGGAAUUGCCUUCGAUACUGGGAGUCUUGAGUUCGGAAGAGGUUGGUGGAACUGCGAGUGUAGAGGUGAAAUUCGUAGA